AUUGUGCCUUACCCUAUUGUGUUGCAACACCAUGGCUCUGCUAACUCACAUGAUACUGGAGCAGAAAAGACAUGAAGAUCCACUGUGGGAUAUAGAAAAGACCAUAACCUUACAAAGGUCAUAAACAGCUCUGAUGCUCAGAGAAGGC
Long non-coding RNA from Pipra filicauda (Wire-tailed manakin), 148 nucleotides. RefSeq lists it as uncharacterized. The record is from RefSeq and is a predicted model, not a curated record. NCBI's taxonomy places the organism in Eukaryota, Metazoa, Chordata, Aves, Passeriformes, Pipridae. The transcript has 3 exons.